Molecule: non-coding RNA, 122 nt
Filed under: Tumebacillus flagellatus
Lineage: Bacteria; Bacillati; Bacillota; Bacilli; Caryophanales; Alicyclobacillaceae
Description: SAM-I sequence
Rfam family: SAM riboswitch aptamer (S box leader)
About the family: The SAM riboswitch is found upstream of a number of genes which code for proteins involved in methionine or cysteine biosynthesis in Gram-positive bacteria. The SAM riboswitch acts at the level of transcription termination control.
Source: Rfam by way of RNAcentral
CUCUUAUCAAGAGAGGUGGAGGGGCUGGCCCGAUGAAACCUCGGCAACCGUCACGACAACCCAUUCGGUUGAGUGAAAUGGUGCCAAUUCCUGCGAGACUGCAAAGUCUUGACAGAUGAGAG